UGGAUAUACCCCUGAAACAACCCCCACUGCCAUAUAUGAGACUUCCACAAUUAUUCACAGGAAAAGAUCAAAGACCUUUGACAUUGCCACCUCUGGAGAAAGCCUAGCCACCACUCUUGGUCAGUUUUCUACCACUGCCUCUGUAGAUGCAACUACUACCCAUAAAGAGGCCUCCCCUGCUGUACCUAAGGAGAACAUGCCCUUUGUUCCUGUCCCUAAAGGAGAUCCCAUGACUGAACUUCAAGAAAUAAAUUUAGUGUCCAGAGGGGAAAUAAUCCACUCAGCAGCGACCCCUCUGCCAUACUGGUCCAUCGUGCUCAUCAGCAUUGCAGUCACAAUAGUCUUGGUUGCUGGGCUGUGCAUGGUCAUCUAUCACGCAAUGUUCUACAUUUUGAUCACCUACUAAACACUGUAAUCGGGCACAUUUCCUUGAAACUGUUUCCAGGAUAUUACCAUGCUUCAGCACAUUUAUCUACCUUUGGUUAUGGAUGGUCUAAGAAAGGAUACCUGUAAGAAUUUCUGGAAGGAAGCAGGUGGACAGAAUCACCAAGAUGUAUUUGCGUAUUACAGUUUGCCAGUUGCUCCACUCCAGAGACAGAUGCAAGCAAAAUUAUCAAAUGUUCUGUAUAUUUGCAAGCUAAAAGAAAAAACACACACACAUUAAAUAAAAAGGCCACUUCUAUUACCUUUUCCAGGUAAGUGGCAUUCUGCUGGCUGUCUUAUAUCGUACAGUCCUAGUAAAUGGACUUGCAGUUUGCAAGCAUUCCUCCUAUAGGACAAAAUGACCAUGCACUCUUCCUUCACUCGUUGCUAGUUGAUGCCCAGAGGAGUUUGUCUGUUAAGAACACUGUAUUCCUGUCUCCAGCAUUUAAGCUCUUUCAUGCUUGUCAAUUUUCUAAGCAAUUUUCAUGGAAAUGUGAGACAGAUUGAAAAGCAGUAAACUGAAAAAACUAUAGCUUGUUCAUUGCUUCAUAAUUCAGUGAAAGUCCAGGUUUUCUGUCUCAAACAGUACCUGAGAAAACCGCCAAAUAUUUAUUUAUUAUUUAUUAAUUAUUAAUUACAUUUAUAAACCGCACCAUCCAAAGGCUCUGGGUGGUGUACAACAAAUUU
This is a long non-coding RNA of Hemicordylus capensis (graceful crag lizard), 1110 nucleotides long. RefSeq lists it as uncharacterized. The transcript is spliced from 3 exons. NCBI's taxonomy places the organism in Eukaryota, Metazoa, Chordata, Lepidosauria, Squamata, Cordylidae. The record is from RefSeq and is a predicted model, not a curated record.